CCUACGGGAGGCAGCAGUGGGGAAUAUUGCGCAAUGGGCGAAAGCCUGACGCAGCGACGCCGCGUGUGGGAUGACGGCCUUCGGGUUGUAAACCUCUUUCAGUAGGGAAGAAGCGAAAGUGACGGUACCUGCAGAAGAAGCGCCGGCCAACUACGUGCCAGCAGCCGCGGUAAU
This 174-nucleotide ribosomal RNA is filed under the name uncultured bacterium. Its description in RNAcentral is "partial 16S ribosomal RNA". It matches the Rfam family "Bacterial small subunit ribosomal RNA", at positions 338 to 524 of the family's 1533-position model. The record is from RNAcentral.